UGUAUUACAAGAAACACCUACUUACAAUACCUACACCUAUAUUUUAUCUUUUAUUUAAUUUCUGAUAAUAAAUGGAUGUCAUUCUAGAUUUAUCAAAUAAUCAAUAUUUAUGCCGAAAAGGACAAAUUUAUUAUUUCAUUACAAACAUUUGCAGAUAAAAAAGGUUUCAGCCGCUUUUUCGGAGAAUCAUUGCUAGAUGGCGCAUGCUGUCAUAGAUUAUUCCGUGCAAUCGGUCUGAUGAGAAACUGGAGAAGGAAAGGAAGGACUACGAUUACGUAAUCGACUGAGCAAGAAUCCUUGAGGAUGCCAGACACGGUUUCCGUCGAAACGUCGGAAAAACUAUUCGAACUCUGGGACUACUUCUGAUAAUAAUAUAAAAAUAAAAUAAUUCCUCAACAAUAGGUACCGGCCGCGAAAGCCUAAUAAGCUAUUUGAAACACUUAAGUACCUAACUGGCGAAAGGAUAUUGGUAACAAGCGGUAUUGUUGAAGCAGCAUUAUUUACGGAAUUAAUAAGUACCUAAUUAAAUUAGUCAAUAGCAAUGUUAAGUUCAUUAUAUAAGUAAGAACAAUUCUAAUAAGUAAUAAAGUACCAAAUAAUGACCCCCAAUAGGUGAUAAGGAUUGUAAAAUAUUCCAUAGGUACGUAUCAAUCAACGAUGCAUAACAACGGUAAUAAAAUAUUGAAAUGAUUAACAAUGCAAAACAUUA
Molecule: long non-coding RNA, 709 nt
Organism: Agrilus planipennis (emerald ash borer)
Lineage: Eukaryota; Metazoa; Arthropoda; Insecta; Coleoptera; Buprestidae
Exons: 2
Source: RefSeq, a predicted model, not a curated record